Molecule: ribosomal RNA, 455 nt
Filed under: uncultured Synechococcus sp.
Lineage: Bacteria; Bacillati; Cyanobacteriota; Cyanophyceae; Synechococcales; Synechococcaceae
Description: bacterial SSU rRNA
Rfam family: Bacterial small subunit ribosomal RNA
Source: RNAcentral
AGGCUUUGAUCCUGGCUCAGGAUGAACGCUGGCGGCGUGCUUAACACAUGCAAGUCGAACGAACCUUCGGGUUAGUGGCGGACGGGUGAGUAACGCGUGAGAAUCUGCCCUCAGGAGGGGGAUAACGGCUGGAAACGGCCGCUAAUACCCCAUAUGCCGAGAGGUGAAACGAAUUUCGCCUGAGGAUGAGCUCGCGUCUGAUUAGCUAGUUGGUGGGGUAAAGGCCUACCAAGGCGACGAUCAGUAGCUGGUCUGAGAGGAUGAUCAGCCACACUGGGACUGAGACACGGCCCAGACUCCUACGGGAGGCAGCAGUGGGGAAUUUUCCGCAAUGGGCGAAAGCCUGACGGAGCAACGCCGCGUGAGGGAUGAAGGCCUCUGGGCUGUAAACCUCUUUUCUCAAGGAAGAAGAUCUGACGGUACUUGAGGAAUAAGCCACGGGGUAUAUCCGUAGC